Molecule: ribosomal RNA, 301 nt
Filed under: uncultured bacterium
Lineage: Bacteria
Description: partial 16S ribosomal RNA
Rfam family: Bacterial small subunit ribosomal RNA
Source: RNAcentral
CAGCCGCCGCGGUAAUACGAGGGGGGCAAGCGUUGUUCGGAAUUAUUGGGCGUAAAGGGUGCGUAGGCGGUUCAGCAAGUCUCGUGUGAAAUCUUCGGGCUCAACCCGAAAUCUGCACGGGAAACUACUGGGCUUGAGUAAUGGAGAGGUGAGUUGAAUUUCCGGUGUAGCGGUGAAAUGCGUAGAUAUCGGAAGGAACACCUGUGGCGAAAGCGGCUCACUGGACAUUUACUGACGCUGAUGCACGAAAGCUAGGGGAGCAAACAGGAUUAGAUACCCCGGUAGUCCCUGUCUCUUAUAC